Molecule: ribosomal RNA, 253 nt
Filed under: uncultured bacterium
Lineage: Bacteria
Description: partial 16S ribosomal RNA
Rfam family: Bacterial small subunit ribosomal RNA
Source: RNAcentral
GACAGAGGAUGCAAGCGUUAUCCGGAAUGAUUGGGCGUAAAGCGUCUGUAGGUGGCUUUUUAAGUCUGCCGUCAAAUCCCAGGGCUUAACCCUGGACAGGCGGUGGAAACUACCAAGCUGGAGUACGGUAGGGGCAGAGGGAAUUUCCGGUGGAGCGGUGAAAUGCGUAGAGAUCGGAAAGAACACCGAUGGCGAAGGCACUCUACUGGGCUAUUACUGACACUCAGAGACGAAAGCUAGGGGAGCAAAUGGG